Molecule: ribosomal RNA, 559 nt
Filed under: Sebacina sp. Seb11L
Lineage: Eukaryota; Fungi; Basidiomycota; Agaricomycetes; Sebacinales; Sebacinaceae
Description: eukaryotic LSU rRNA
Rfam family: Eukaryotic large subunit ribosomal RNA
Source: RNAcentral
CGAGUGAAGAGGGAAAAGCUCAAAUUUUGAAUCUGGUGCUUUUGGCUCCGAGUUGUAAUCUAGAGAAGUGUUUUCUGCCUUGGACCACACAUAAGUUCCCUGGAAUGGGGUGUCAGAGAGGGUGAGAAUCCCGUUUGUGGUGUGGACUACCUUGGCUCUGUGAUACACUCUCAACGAGUCGAGUUGUUUGGGAAUGCAGCUCAAAAUGGGUGGUAAAUUCCAUCUAAAGCUAAAUAUUGGCGAGAGACCGAUAGCGAACAAGUACCGUGAGGGAAAGAUGAAAAGCACUUUGGAAAGAGAGUGAAACAGUACGUGAAAUUGUUGAAAGGGAAGCGUUUGAAGUCAGUCACAUUGGUCGGAAUUCAGCCUGGCUUAUGCCUGGUGUACUUUCUGGCAAAUGGGUCAGCAUCAAUUUUGAUCGAGGGAAAAAGACUUGAGGAAGGUGGCUGUCUUUGGGCAGUGUUAUAGCCUCUUGUUGUAUGUCUCGGUUGGGAUUGAGGAUUGCAGCACGCCUUAUGGCCGGGGUUCGCGCCCUCGGUACGUGCUUAGGAUGCUGGCA